This 328-nucleotide ribosomal RNA is filed under the name uncultured eukaryote. Its description in RNAcentral is "partial 18S ribosomal RNA". It matches the Rfam family "Eukaryotic small subunit ribosomal RNA", at positions 1470 to 1796 of the family's 1831-position model. The record is from RNAcentral.
CCCUUAGAUGUCCGGGGCUGCACGCGCGCUACACUGAAGGAAUCAGCGUGCUAAAACCAUUGUCGAAAGGCAUUGGUAAACCCAUUAAAAUCCUACGUGAUUGGGAUCGGGAAUCGCAAUUAUUUCCCUUGAACGAGGAAUUCCCAGUAAGUGUGGGUCAUAAGCUCGCGUUGAUUACGUCCCUGCCCUUUGUACACACCGCCCGUCGCUGCCCGGGACUGAGCCGUUUCGAGAAAAGCGGGGACUGCUGCUGUCGGGGCUUUCGGGCCUUGGCUUCGGUGGAAACCGCUUUAAUCGCAGUGGCUUGAACCGGGCAAAANUCGUANCA